UUAAGCGACUAAGCGUACACGGUGGAUGCCCUGGCAGUCAGAGGCGAUGAAGGACGUGCUAAUCUGCGAUAAGCGUCGGUGAGGUGAUAUGAACCGUUAUAACCGGCGAUUUCCGAAUGGGGAAACCCAGUGUGAUUCGUCACACUAUCAUUAACUGAAUCCAUAGGUUAAUGAGGCGAACCGGGGGAACUGAAACAUCUAAGUACCCCGAGGAAAAGAAAUCAACCGAGAUUCCCCCAGUAGCGGCGAGCGAACGGGGAGGAGCCCAGAGCCUGAAUCAGUGUGUGUGUUAGUGGAAGCGUCUGGAAAGGCGCGCGAUACAGGGUGACAGCCCCGUACACAAAAAUGCACAUAUUGUGAGCUCGAUGAGUAGGGCGGGACACGUGGUAUCCUGUCUGAAUAUGGGGGGACCAUCCUCCAAGGCUAAAUACUCCUGACUGACCGAUAGUGAACCAGUACCGUGAGGGAAAGGCGAAAAGAACCCCGGCGAGGGGAGUGAAAAAGAACCUGAAACCGUGUACGUACAAGCAGUGGGAGCCUCUUAAUGGGGUGACUGCGUACCUUUUGUAUAAUGGGUCAGCGACUUAUAUUCUGUAGCAAGGUUAACCGAAUAGGGGAGCCGAAGGGAAACCGAGUCUUAACUGGGCGUUAAGUUGCAGGGUAUAGACCCGAAACCCGGUGAUCUAGCCAUGGGCAGGUUGAAGGUUGGGUAACACUAACUGGAGGACCGAACCGACUAAUGUUGAAAAAUUAGCGGAUGACUUGUGGCUGGGGGUGAAAGGCCAAUCAAACCGGGAGAUAGCUGGUUCUCCCCGAAAGCUAUUUAGGUAGCGCCUCGUGAAUUCAUCUCCGGGGGUAGAGCACUGUUUCGGCAAGGGGGUCAUCCCGACUUACCAACCCGAUGCAAACUGCGAAUACCGGAGAAUGUUAUCACGGGAGACACACGGCGGGUGCUAACGUCCGUCGUGAAGAGGGAAACAACCCAGACCGCCAGCUAAGGUCCCAAAGUCAUGGUUAAGUGGGAAACGAUGUGGGAAGGCCCAGACAGCCAGGAUGUUGGCUUAGAAGCAGCCAUCAUUUAAAGAAAGCGUAAUAGCUCACUGGUCGAGUCGGCCUGCGCGGAAGAUGUAACGGGGCUAAACCAUGCACCGAAGCUGCGGCAGCGACACUAUGUGUUGUUGGGUAGGGGAGCGUUCUGUAAGCCUGUGAAGGUGGCCUGUGAGGGUUGCUGGAGGUAUCAGAAGUGCGAAUGCUGACAUAAGUAACGAUAAAGCGGGUGAAAAGCCCGCUCGCCGGAAGACCAAGGGUUCCUGUCCAACGUUAAUCGGGGCAGGGUGAGUCGACCCCUAAGGCGAGGCCGAAAGGCGUAGUCGAUGGGAAACAGGUUAAUAUUCCUGUACUUGGUGUUACUGCGAAGGGGGGACGGAGAAGGCUAUGUUGGCCGGGCGACGGUUGUCCCGGUUUAAGCGUGUAGGCUGGUUUUCCAGGCAAAUCCGGAAAACCAAGGCUGAGGCGUGAUGACGAGGCACUACGGUGCUGAAGUGACAAAUGCCCUGCUUCCAGGAAAAGCCUCUAAGCAUCAGGUAACAUCAAAUCGUACCCCAAACCGACACAGGUGGUCAGGUAGAGAAUACCAAGGCGCUUGAGAGAACUCGGGUGAAGGAACUAGGCAAAAUGGUGCCGUAACUUCGGGAGAAGGCACGCUGAUAUGUAGGUGAAGCGACUUGCUCGUGGAGCUGAAAUCAGUCGAAGAUACCAGCUGGCUGCAACUGUUUAUUAAAAACACAGCACUGUGCAAACACGAAAGUGGACGUAUACGGUGUGACGCCUGCCCGGUGCCGGAAGGUUAAUUGAUGGGGUUAGCGGCAACGCGAAGCUCUUGAUCGAAGCCCCGGUAAACGGCGGCCGUAACUAUAACGGUCCUAAGGUAGCGAAAUUCCUUGUCGGGUAAGUUCCGACCUGCACGAAUGGCGUAAUGAUGGCCAGGCUGUCUCCACCCGAGACUCAGUGAAAUUGAACUCGCUGUGAAGAUGCAGUGUACCCGCGGCAAGACGGAAAGACCCCGUGAACCUUUACUAUAGCUUGACACUGAACAUUGAGCCUUGAUGUGUAGGAUAGGUGGGAGGCUUUGAAGUGUGGACGCCAGUCUGCAUGGAGCCGACCUUGAAAUACCACCCUUUAAUGUUUGAUGUUCUAACGUUGGCCCGUAAUCCGGGUUGCGGACAGUGUCUGGUGGGUAGUUUGACUGGGGCGGUCUCCUCCUAAAGAGUAACGGAGGAGCACGAAGGUUGGCUAAUCCUGGUCGGACAUCAGGAGGUUAGUGCAAUGGCAUAAGCCAGCUUGACUGCGAGCGUGACGGCGCGAGCAGGUGCGAAAGCAGGUCAUAGUGAUCCGGUGGUUCUGAAUGGAAGGGCCAUCGCUCAACGGAUAAAAGGUACUCCGGGGAUAACAGGCUGAUACCGCCCAAGAGUUCAUAUCGACGGCGGUGUUUGGCACCUCGAUGUCGGCUCAUCACAUCCUGGGGCUGAAGUAGGUCCCAAGGGUAUGGCUGUUCGCCAUUUAAAGUGGUACGCGAGCUGGGUUUAGAACGUCGUGAGACAGUUCGGUCCCUAUCUGCCGUGGGCGCUGGAGAACUGAGGGGGGCUGCUCCUAGUACGAGAGGACCGGAGUGGACGCAUCACUGGUGUUCGGGUUGUCAUGCCAAUGGCACUGCCCGGUAGCUAAAUGCGGAAGAGAUAAGUGCUGAAAGCAUCUAAGCACGAAACUUGCCCCGAGAUGAGUUCUCCCUGACCCUUUAAGGGUCCUGAAGGAACGUUGAAGACGACGACGUUGAUAGGCCGGGUGUGUAAGCGCAGCGAUGCGUUGAGCUAACCGGUACUAAUGAACCGUGAGGCUUAACCUU
This 2902-nucleotide ribosomal RNA is filed under the name Escherichia coli. RNAcentral's name for it is "23S ribosomal RNA". It matches the Rfam family "Bacterial large subunit ribosomal RNA". The record is from RNAcentral. Lineage: Bacteria; Pseudomonadati; Pseudomonadota; Gammaproteobacteria; Enterobacterales; Enterobacteriaceae.